RNAcentral lists this ribosomal RNA (274 nucleotides) under uncultured bacterium. RNAcentral's name for it is "partial 16S ribosomal RNA". It matches the Rfam family "Bacterial small subunit ribosomal RNA", at positions 523 to 796 of the family's 1533-position model. The record is from RNAcentral.
AUACGGAGGGUGCGAGCGUUAAGCGGAAUUACUGGGCGUAAAGCGUACGUAGGCGGUUGGUUAAGUUAGAUGUGAAAGCCCCGGGCUUAACCUGGGAACUGCAUUUAAAACUGGCGAACUAGAGUUGAGUAGAGGGGAGUGGAAUUUCAGGUGUAGCGGUGAAAUGCGUAGAGAUCUGAAGGAACACCAGUGGCGAAGGCGACUCCCUGGACUCGAACUGACGCUGAGGUACGAAAGCGUGGGUAGCAAACGGGAUUAGAAACCCUUGUAGUCC